This is a long non-coding RNA of Daphnia magna, 641 nucleotides long. RefSeq lists it as uncharacterized. The record is from RefSeq and is a predicted model, not a curated record. The transcript is spliced from 3 exons. NCBI's taxonomy places the organism in Eukaryota, Metazoa, Arthropoda, Branchiopoda, Diplostraca, Daphniidae.
GGUUCAUCGAGACUGAGGAUAUCUGGGUUGUUGUCAACAAUUUCAAUCCGAUGGAAAGCCGCUUGCAUUCGCCAACCGAUAACGAACCGAUUUGCGUUAAGCCCAAUGUUUUCAUCACCAAUUCCACCUGUCCAGUUCGAUAGUAGCGGCCGCCAUCAUGUAUUCGUCGACGGCAAGAUUUGACAGGAGAUGAUCUUCUUGAGUGAUGAAGGCAGAAUGUUUACGGAAUGUUUUGAGCUUUCGAUCAACGCCAUUCACCUGGAUUUGGCCUUCUACUCCGCUAGUCCUGACGUUUACAUUUUUAAAAAAUUCUGUUGACGCAUUUACUUUUCUCUUUCAAUAAUGUAAUGAAAUAACUUACUUUAGGCCAGGUAAAGUGAAGAUUUACCCGCUCCAGACGGCCCUAAAAUGGCGGUCAAAUGGCCAGACUUGAACGUGCCGCUCAUCCCGUGCAACAUUCUUUUGGCAUUUUCCCCUAACAGAAUGAAUAAAAUUAAGGCCGAGGUUGCCCAAAAUGCUGUGCGUCUCGAUGCCUGCAGGCAGCGUGUGGUACGAGAGAAAAUAACGGUAAAACUCACCACUGUCAUUGCGGAUGUUACGUAAAACUUUAAUGGCGGAUGAGGGGUAUUACUAUUACCUUU